UUUGAUACUGUUACCUCUAAUAUGUGGUUUCUUAUGCUGGUUUGUUCAUAGACAUUUCCAAUUAUUGUGCAGGUUGCUUGCUACCUACAUAACAAGUACAAGUCUAGCGAAUCAAGUACAUAUAAGGAAAAUGGGACUUCUGCUGCUAUUCAAUAUGGUAUUGGAUCAAUUUCUGGAUUCUUUAGCUAUGAUGAUGUCAAAGUUGGUGUCAUAACUAUAAAGAACUAGGAAUUCAUUGAAGCAACUA
This is a non-coding RNA of Arachis ipaensis, 247 nucleotides long. The record is from RefSeq and is a predicted model, not a curated record. NCBI's taxonomy places the organism in Eukaryota, Viridiplantae, Streptophyta, Magnoliopsida, Fabales, Fabaceae.